GCUUUUUGUAUAACAUAUUAAAUGCAUAUAUAAAAUUUUGAUGAUGAAUAUAUUAAUAAUAGAAAUGCUCGAAUGGGAAAUAUGCCUCCACCUAUGACACCACCCUUCCCAUAUUCUGAUCGACCAAUGCCAAGAUAUGGGCUUGAUAGAGGAUAUGCUCCACCUGACAGAGGGUUUGCUCCAGAAAGAGGAUUUGGUGCAGAUAGAAAUUAUGCUGGAGAGAGGAUGAGACCAUAUCCUGACCCAUAUGAUCGUCGACCUCCACCUCCUAUAUCUCCAGGUCUGAGAGAUGAUUAUUAUUGUUACAGAAGAACUUAUGAUGAAUAUGGGUAAGGAUUACUUUUAGAAGUUAUUCCAAGAAAAAACAAUUUUGAUAGACAGCAAUUUAAAUUAAAUCAUCAAUGUGUAUUAGUUACAUGUGCAUAAAAAAGUUUGAUUUAUCUCCUUAAGUACAUUUCUUAUUUUUAUUAAUUUCCCCUUCAUUCUAUAGCA
Molecule: long non-coding RNA, 492 nt
Filed under: Androctonus crassicauda
Lineage: Eukaryota; Metazoa; Arthropoda; Arachnida; Scorpiones; Buthidae
Source: RNAcentral